GAUAGCACAGAAGCAGAGACUUUAAGUCUAAACAGACCUAGAUUCAGAGCAGACCCGAUGCUGCUUGAAGAAGGCUGGAGGUAUGUUAAGGAGACAAGGGCUGUCAAGAAGCAGGGAUGUCUCUGGAAAGGUUCUCCUUGCUGCUGCCAUGUGAAGAAAGACAUGUUUCCUUCCCCUUCUGCCAUAAUUGUGAGUUUCCUGAGGCCUCCCUACCCCUGAGGAACUUCCUCCUUUCUGACCAUAAGUACAAUUAUAUUCGAACAAAGAAGGCUGGGAGGUACAGACAAGGAAUAAUGAAUUACCAAUACCUUCAUAAAAAAAGAACUAUUUGGAUUUUUCUUAAAAUACAAGUGACGUUAUUGAAUGGACAAAUUUCCCUUUUCGUUGGAAAAAGAAAUGGUACUGGACCCUUUCUAGAGACACAUGUAAGUAGAGAAGCACAGAUCCAGCAUAACUGAUGACAGAGGUUGUAAAAGACAUCAGAUCCCAACUUG
This 494-nucleotide long non-coding RNA is filed under the name Papio anubis (olive baboon). RNAcentral describes it as "lncRNA (ENSPANG00000042525.1)". The record is from RNAcentral. Lineage: Eukaryota; Metazoa; Chordata; Mammalia; Primates; Cercopithecidae.